GGGCCGGUAGCUCAGCCUGGAUUAGAGCACUUGCCUUUUAAGCAAGUGGUCGCGGGUUCAAAUUUAGGCUAUGAAAAUAGUCUGUUGGAUGUCCCGUCCGGCCCA
RNAcentral lists this transfer RNA (105 nucleotides) under Candidatus Nanoarchaeia archaeon. RNAcentral describes it as "tRNA-Lys". It matches the Rfam family "tRNA". From Rfam's summary of the family: Transfer RNA (tRNA) molecules are approximately 80 nucleotides in length. Their secondary structure includes four short double-helical elements and three loops (D, anti-codon, and T loops). Lineage: Archaea; Nanobdellati; Nanobdellota; Candidatus Nanoarchaeia. The record is from RNAcentral.